AACCUCCGCAAUGUGAGAAAUCGCGACGGGGGGAUCCCAAGUGCCAUUCUUAACGGGAUGGCUUUUCUUAAGUGUAAAAAGCUUUUGGAAUAAGAGCUGGGCAAGACCGGUGCCAGCCGCCGCGGUAACACCGGCAGCUCUAGUGGUAGCUGUUUUUAUUGGGCCUAAAGCGUUCGUAGCCGGUUUGAUAAGUCACUGGUGAAAUCCUGUAGCUUAACUGCGGGAAUUGCUGGUGAUACUGUUGAACUUGAGGUCGGGAGAGGUUAGCGGUACUCCCAGGGUAGAGGUGAAAUUCUGUAAUCCUGGGAGGACCACCUGUGGCGAAGGCGGCUAACUGGAACGAACCUGACGGUGAGGGACGAAAGCUAGGGGCGCGAACCGGAUUAGAUACCCGGGUAGUCCUAGCCGUAAACGAUGCGGACUUGGUGUUUGGG
Molecule: ribosomal RNA, 434 nt
Filed under: uncultured bacterium
Lineage: Bacteria
Description: bacterial SSU rRNA
Rfam family: Archaeal small subunit ribosomal RNA
Source: RNAcentral